Molecule: ribosomal RNA, 512 nt
Filed under: bacterium VELCS-14
Lineage: Bacteria
Description: bacterial SSU rRNA
Rfam family: Bacterial small subunit ribosomal RNA
Source: RNAcentral
GUAACAGACAGACCGUCGGGUAAUAGAUCGGACGGGAUACAAGACGGUUAAUCGGAAUUACUGGGCGUAAAGCGCACGCAGGCGGUUGAGUAAGGUAGAUGUGAAAUCCCCGGGCUUAACCUGGGAAUGGCAUCUACACACUGGUCAGCUAGAGUCAAGAAAAGGGGGGUAGAAUUCCAUGUGUAGCGGUGAAAUGCGUAGAGAUGUGAAGGAGUACCGGUGGCGAAGGCGGCCCCCUGGACUAAUACUGACGCUCAGGUGCGAAAGCGUGGGGAGCAAACAUGAUUAGAUACCCUGGUAGUCCACGCCGUAAACGAUGUCAAUUUGACGGUUGUAUCCUUGAGGACUGGCUUUCGCAGCUAACGCGUUAAAUCGACCGCCUGGGGAGUACGGCCGCAAGGUUAAAACUCAAAUGAAUUGACGGGGCCCGCACAAGCGGUGGAACCUGUGGUUUAAUUCAAUGCAACGCGAAAAACCUUACCUGCGCUUGACAUCCAGAGAACUACCAGAGG